Long non-coding RNA from Parus major (Great Tit), 5550 nucleotides. RefSeq lists it as uncharacterized. NCBI's taxonomy places the organism in Eukaryota, Metazoa, Chordata, Aves, Passeriformes, Paridae. The transcript has 2 exons. The record is from RefSeq and is a predicted model, not a curated record.
GCGGCGGUGUCCGCCCCCCAGGCGGUGGGCGGCGAGACAGGGAAAUAUCUGGGAAACAUGGGAAAGUGGCAGUCGGGUGUUGGGUAGAAGUGGCCACCCGGGGUAUUUUCGCUGGCGCGAUAAUAUUCCGGAGGCUCGGAGCGGUUCCGGGGAGGGUCCCGGGCUGAUUUUUUUGCUGCGUAAUCGGUUCGGCGGAGGUUUCGCUUCCUCGGCUGCCCAGACAGCGCUGCCUCUGCCCGAGCACUGAGCCAGAGCUGUGGGACCCCCGCCUCCCCACGGCGGCCUCAGGGGAGAUGUUUUCCCGAGAGAAAUGUUUUCCCGCCCUGUGUCAUUUUUCUCAGUUUCACCUUGUUAAAACCUCACGAAAUCGUAGCAGUUUUCACAUCCCUGCUCCCGCUCCGUUGUUACUGAUUUAAACUAAAGUUCCCGGCUGAUUUAUCACUUGGUAUGUGUUUUUUGGCUGUCCGGUAAUGUUGCUGUUCCAGUAAAUGAUCUGUAUAACGAAAAAUACUGAUCUCUUUAUAAUUUAUGCAUAAUGUAAUCUGAUCAUAAUUAUAGUAGGAAAAUAAUGAAACGGUUUUGUUUUUUAUUUUUUCCCUUCCAAGACGAUCCCUCUUUUGAUGCUCUGCAUUUCCUGUUUGGAGUUGCCAUCUUCCCAAAUCUUGGAAGCCUGUUCUCUUGAGGAACUGACAGCAGCCUCUUGCUCACAGGCCUUGUUUAUUGUUUAUUUAUUAUUGUUUAUUGUCUUAGCUUUCAUGGGUUUUAUCACAAGUUCAGACUUUGUCUGCUUCACUUGUUACAGGGCACUAAGGUUUUUCUGAAGUUCUCCGUAGUGAAACUGAUAAAUUGGCUUUGAUGCCUUUGUGGUCUUAAUAUAAAUGCCUAAUUCAUGUUCCCCAUUUGUUGGCAUCUGAACUUUGCUUUAUAAUGCUAUAUUCUAGAGGGAAUAGUUCCCUGCUAUAUUUGCAUUCUGUACUUUUAUCUUUCAAAACACUGCAGUGGUCCUCAGAAGUUACAUGGUUUAUUUUUGUUAACCUUUCUUCUGUACCCAGCUUUGCAAGCCUUUUAUUUUUUUUUUUUUGUAUCAGGUGGAUACCCAUGAGCCAGCUUUGUCUUCUUCAGAAAUGUUCAUCAGAUUGUUAAUAUGGAUUUUAGUGAGGCCCCCACAAAAUCAGGAAAACACCUGGGAACUCUUCUUUGUGAAUAUGUAUUUGCUUCCACUUUUGAAUAAAACAAAUCUAUUGGUUAAGUAUGAUGCUGCUUUAUAGCAUCAUAUAUAUAUAUAUAUAUAUAUAUAUAUAUAUAUAAAAUCUGUUAUGCUGGAUGUCUUAAAUCAUGGUCUCAUUCAGGAUGGAUGAGGUCUCUGGUCCAGUCACCUGCUCAAAGCAGUGUCAGUGCUGACUUCAGACCAGGUUCCACAGGACUUUGUUUACUCAAGCAUCUCAAAUGCAGUGUCACCCAGCCCUGGGUCUGGCCACUGACUGCUCUCACUGCAGUUACCAUCCAUGUGCUUUCCCCUGUUCCUGAAGCAAUGAAAAACAUUCACAGGGUUCGCAUGAUCCAGAUGAUUCAUUUUUUUGGGUACCCACCUUAUGGAAAGUCAGAAACACUGUGUACAAUAGCUCAAGACAAAUUACAAAUUAUACUGCCCAUGCAUCUGUCACAAUGAACGUGAGCAACCAGAUCAACUGGAGAACACAAAGACCUACUAGAGUAAGAAAACAUAUCUCACCAAAUCAUCACUGUGCCUCUGACUUCCUAGUUCUGCUAUUACCAGGGGCUGCACGAAUCUUGACCUCAGCAGAAAUAUAUUUUCUAGCAUGUUCCAGUUUUUUCUUAUAUGCCACCUUUUGCUACCAUCAUUCACAGGGAUUUACUGCCCUUCACAGGGAGAUACUGCCCUUCCUAUUUCUCACUGCCCCAUCCAACUUUUGUCACUUGUCACUACUUCCAUCAAGUCUGGUUGUUUCACUUGUGCUCAUCCUUCCCAGCAGUCCUAGUGUACUUAAUUGGUUAAAACCUGCUUGUUAUUUUCCUUCACUCUCCUUUCUUUGGUUUCUUGCUGGCUUAACUCACUGAAAUGUCACAAUUGAAGUCCAAUGACCAUAUGGCUCUAGAGUGACACUACAGCCUAACAGGCCCAAUGGCCAACUGCUGCUGAAAUGGGCUUGCUCCCUCCACACCUACCCUCUCCUGGCACCUGCUGUAGCACUUAUUACACCCCAUAGUGAAAAAAUUCUAGCAAAAAAAAAUGUCUCUGGGGCAGGAUGGGGAGCUUUCCACAUAGCAUUGACUUUAUUUUUUAAGAGCAGUGAAGAUUUUGAAAAAGCUGAAAAUUAUUUUGCAAUACUAGGUUUCCACCAUAAAUCAUCUUGUUUUGGAAUCAAACAACUGCCAAUGAUGACAAGAAGAGGGAAAAAGGCAGAUUGCCUCUCUGGACAACAAUUAGUUGCUAAAAUGCCUUCCCUGCAUUGGGUAAGUGCUUUGCCCCAAACUUGUUCACCCAUAUCAGCUUGCAUGAAACUCAUUGUACUUCGCAUCAGGAAAAGUGUUAGAAGGCCUGAAAGCUUAUCAGUCUUUAGCCAUUACACCAGCUUGUAAAUAAAAGGUACCAGCUCUCUAGAAAAGGUGCCUCAUCUUUAAUUAUUACUUGCAUUUGUGUUUCCCAUUUAAACACUCUUUACAAGAGGAAAUUUUCCUUAUACACAAGAGGAGUUACCAUCAUGAUGAUUUUAAACAUCUUCAAUCUAGGUAUAGGGGCAUUUUGACUACAAUAAUGUUGAGUCAUACAGGAAAGCUGCAGGUAGUUGUGUUUGGUGCAGCCUUUAAAUGAAAUCAUUAACAUUUGUCUGGAAAAUUGUGAGUGUCGACCCCAUCUCUGAGUGGAGUGCUCUCAUUUAUCUCUUAUCUUCUUCCCCUUCUAUCUCACACAAAAUAUCAGAGGUAUAGAAUAUGCUGAGGUGGAAGGGACCUACUGAGAAUCAUUGAGUUGCAACUUCUGGCUCUGCACAAGACCAUCCCUGGGAGUCACACCACGUGCUUGAGUAGUUUUCCUCUUAUGUUCUAAGUAUGAAAACACUGCCUGAAGAAUCUAGUUCACACUCUUGAUUAGAAGGUGCGUCACUAGAUUUCUCUUUGCAGGUAGGUAAUGAACUUCUCAGUCCAGAUGUUAAAAAAAAACAUGCACAGCAGGAGUCCACUUCUUCAAAGUAAAGAUGUAAAAACCCAGCAAUUGCCUUCCUAAACCUUGACUCUUUACGAAGAACGUUACUAGGCACUGAACACCCACCACAAACCCAACUGUGAUAUAGCAGCUACAGACCUGCUGUCUGCACUACUGAAGGAAAUUACAAAAAAAACCCAAAAAACCCACACAACCUGCUUGUAGCCAGAAUCAGUAAUUAUAUGUUAAGCUCAAGAUACAGAAACUACCCCACAGGUGAUGUUUUACAGCUCAUGUUGCAUAAGCCCCAACAGGGCAGUAUGCUGAUUGAACAGAGGCAAAGCAUACAAAAGAAUCACAUUUUAAUUCUUCAGACUGAACCAACUAACAUUGUCUGAAGAUCCAGACUACUCAUCCUACAGGAAGCUCCUUCAGUGAUGGAAGGGAGGGCAGGGUACAAGUUUAUAAUAGAGGCACACCCACAUAAUGGGUGCCACACACAGCUCACUCCUACACUUGGCACGCUCUGCUUUAUAUCCAUUCUCACCUGCCACCACCAGAGCGGGCGACACAGUGUGAGGGGGAAGUGUUUCUGCUGCUUCAGCUUCCUGGGUAGCAGAUUAUGGGUACAGAUAAGCUCCAGAUUUGGUACAAAGAGACCUGUAGGAAGAGUAAAGGAUGGUGGGGUUGAGCACGGAAAAGUCUCUUUUAGCAGAGGCCAGUUUAAAAACUUUCCUUAUGAGGGUCAAAUUUAGUAACAGCUAAAUCACCCACUUAGCACUACUGCCCUUACUUGAGAAGGCAAAACCCUAAGUCAUAUAUGAAAACUAAUAGCGACUCAAACCCAAAAAGCUUUGCUGAAGAUGGAAGCUUUAUUGUUCCUCAUAAUCUGCCUAGUGAAAGCUCUGCCCUUGGUGUGGUAAAGCUUCUGUAAUUGUCAGGGAAGGAGGCCAGGACAGAGACAGAGGACUGACAACCACAGCUGCAGUGUCAGGGGUGCAACUUUCAUACUGGGGAGGUGCAGGAGAGUGGCAACAGCUGGAAAGCUCCAAGUCAGAGAGGGAAGGCUUCUAGUGCUAUGGGAGAAGAUGAAAUGGAGCAUUGGUAUGGCAGCAAAGAGAGGGAAAACCGUACCGUGAAACUAGGAAAUACGAAAAGCACUGCAAGCACUCGUUCUGUGAUAUAACAAAUCAAAUAACAAGAAAUUUUUGAUUAAACACAUCUAAAUCAGGAACAAAAUCUUAUGGAAGUGAUACUGUCCUAUUGAAAGUAGUAAAGGUACUCUCCUCCCUCAGUGAAAAAUGAAAAUGGCACUAUGCUCAAAUCAUCACAUGCUAAUCCUGGAUGAUCCUUCUGACCCACCUUCCCAUUUUUUUUUCAAUUAAAGUGAUUGAAGAACACAGCACUACAGAGUCUAGGAAAAAUAUUCAUCUGAUUAUGCUAGAGGUAAGUCAGCUUUUUACUGUGGACAUUAGUUCAUGAGGAAAGUAUUAUAAAUCCCAUGCACGGCAAGACUCGAACUUUCCCCUGCCCCCAUGAAACAGUUAUAAAUGUCUGUAAUGUUAAAGAACUAAAAAAAUAAAAAUAGCAGCAUUCUACUAAAAAUCACUGUAUAGGCCACUGAUGCUACUGAAAUAUUGCAGUGAAUGCAAUUCUCUCUUUCUGCCAGCAUCUUCCAUAUGCAAAGGGGCAAUACAAUUUAUUACCUAAACACCAGAAAAGUUGCCAGGUUCUACUUGGAUGUAACAGACAGAAGAUUCAAGAAUGCUGUAGCUUCUAAAGAUUCAGCUAAAAUGAUUCAGAGAGACUUAAGACAUUUCACUGGAUCAAAUUUUAUUGUUUUUAUAAAAAAAAGAUAGAACCAGAUGCUACUUUUAAGUGAAAUCGUUUAUUACACCAAUCUGUUUUAUAGGAGGUAUAUAUAUAUUUUAUCAUUAAGACAACUUCAAUAAAAUGACUAUCUACAAGAAGGACUUUGAUUGUUUUAUUUUUAUGUCACCAUAUAUGAACAAAUGAAUUUUAUGUCUUAUUAAAACAUUUUACUCCGUAUCAAAAAUGUACACAUUUUAAUAACCAUUGCUAUGGUCAGAAGGUAUUUUUACAUUUAAUUCAUUUAAUUUAAAAAAUAAGUGUAAUUUCAUUGCUGUAUGUGUUACAGUGUAAGCUUAAAUCAUUCUAUACAUAAUAAAAGUUUGUGUAUACAGAUAAUUUUUUCAUGUUGUCACAUACCUUCAUGUCUGAGACACAGGUGGGGAAUUUGCAUUUCUUUUUUGCAGAAGGUUAAAGUACAUACUGAUGUGAGCACAAAGCAACAUUUCUUAAAAACAAAACCAGUUUGAAUGGCACAAGAGUUAGCAUUUUUAUAAAUUAACAACCAGAGUUCUGCA